Molecule: ribosomal RNA, 588 nt
Filed under: uncultured bacterium
Lineage: Bacteria
Description: bacterial SSU rRNA
Rfam family: Bacterial small subunit ribosomal RNA
Source: RNAcentral
CCUACGGGAGGCAGCAGUGGGGAAUUUUGGACAAUGGGCGAAAGCCUGAUCCAGCAAUGCCGCGUGUGGGAAGAAGGCCUUCGGGUUGUAAACCACUUUUGUACGGAACGAAACGGUUCGCUUUAAUACAGUGGGCUAAUGACGGUACCGUAAGAAUAAGCACCGGCUAACUACGUGCCAGCAGCCGCGGUAAUACGUAGGGUGCGAGCGUUAAUCGGAAUUACUGGGCGUAAAGCGUGCGCAGGCGGUUAUAUAAGACAGUUGUGAAAUCCCCGGGCUCAACCUGGGAAUUGCAUCUGUGACUGUAUAGCUAGAGUACGGUAGAGGGGGAUGGAAUUCCGCGUGUAGCAGUGAAAUGCGUAGAUAUGCGGAGGAACACCGAUGGCGAAGGCAAUCCCCUGGACCUGUACUGACGCUCAUGCACGAAAGCGUGGGGAGCAAACAGGAUUAGAUACCCUGGUAGUCCACGCCCUAAACCGAUGUCAACUGGUUGUUGGGUGCAUUAGUACUCAGUAACGAAGCUAACGCGUGAAGUUGACCGCCUGGGGAGUACGGCCGCGAAGGUUGAAACGUCAAAGGAAUUGACGG